RNAcentral lists this unclassified non-coding RNA (198 nucleotides) under uncultured Rhizophagus. Its description in RNAcentral is "sequence contains ITS2". Lineage: Eukaryota; Fungi; Glomeromycota; Glomeromycetes; Glomerales; Glomeraceae. The record is from RNAcentral.
UAAAUAACAAUCGAUAUGUUGCUUUUGUGACAUUUCGGAGUUGGGUCAUCUUAAUCUUACUUUUUAAGGGACCUAAAAUUGAUGUUCUUGCGCAUCUUGACGUGUAUGUAUAAUUUCUUUAUCUCGUCACUUGGAUGCCGGAUAUUAUUAGGUGUGACCAUGUUAAGUGGUUUUUUAUGCCUAUAAGGAUUCUUGAUU